RNAcentral lists this ribosomal RNA (497 nucleotides) under uncultured bacterium. RNAcentral describes it as "partial 16S ribosomal RNA". It matches the Rfam family "Bacterial small subunit ribosomal RNA", at positions 28 to 507 of the family's 1533-position model. The record is from RNAcentral.
GACGAACGCUGGCGGCGUGCCUAAUACAUGCAAGUUGAGCGCUGAAGGUUGGUACUUGUACCAACUGGAUGAGCAGCGAACGGGUGAGUAACGCGUGGGGAAUCUGCCUUUGAGCGGGGGACAACAUUUGGAAACGAAUGCUAAUACCGCAUAAAAACUUUAAACACAAGUUUUAAGUUUGAAAGAUGCAAUUGCAUCACUCAAAGAUGAUCCCGCGUUGUAUUAGCUAGUUGGUGAGGUAAAGGCUCACCAAGGCGAUGAUACAUAGCCGACCUGAGAGGGUGAUCGGCCAAAUUGGGACUGAGAAAAGGCACAAAAUGCUACGGGAGGCAGCAGUAGGGAAUCAUCGGCAAUGGACGAAAGUCUGACCGAGCAACGCCGCGUGAGUGAAGAAGGUUUUCGGAUCGUAAAACUCUGUUGGUAGAGAAGAACGUUGGUGAGAGUGGAAAGCUCAUCAAGUGACGGUAACUACCCAGAAAGGGACGGCUAACUACGUG